This 466-nucleotide ribosomal RNA is filed under the name uncultured bacterium. RNAcentral describes it as "partial 16S ribosomal RNA". It matches the Rfam family "Bacterial small subunit ribosomal RNA", at positions 28 to 507 of the family's 1533-position model. The record is from RNAcentral.
GACGAACGCUGGCGGCGUGCUUAACACAUGCAAGUCGAACGGAAAGGCUCCAGCUUGCUGGCGUACUCGAGUGGCGAACGGGUGAGUAACACGUGGGUAAUCUGCCCUGCACUCUGGAUAAGCCUGGGAAACUGGGUCUAAUACUGGAUAUGACCUUUCUCCUUAUGGGGUUUGGUGGAAAGUUUUUCGGUGUAGGAUGAGCCCGCGGCCUAUCAGCUUGUUGGUGGGGUGAUGGCCUACCAAGGCGACGACGGGUAGCCGGCCUGAGAGGGUGAUCGGCCACAUUGGGACUGAGAUACGGCCCAGACUCCUACGGGAGGCAGCAGUGGGGAAUAUUGCACAAUGGGCGGAAGCCUGAUGCAGCGACGCCGCGUGAGGGAUGACGGCCUUCGGGUUGUAAACCUCUUUCAGCAGGGACGAAGCGUAAGUGACGGUACCUGCAGAAGAAGCACCGGCUAACUAUGUG